This 468-nucleotide ribosomal RNA is filed under the name uncultured bacterium. RNAcentral's name for it is "partial 16S ribosomal RNA". It matches the Rfam family "Bacterial small subunit ribosomal RNA", at positions 28 to 507 of the family's 1533-position model. The record is from RNAcentral.
GACGAACGCUGGCGGCGUGCUUAACACAUGCAAGUCGAACGGAAAGGCCCUGCUCUUGUGGGGUGCUCGAGUGGCGAACGGGUGAGUAACACGUGAGUAACCUGCCCUUGACUUUGGGAUAACUUCAGGAAACUGGGGCUAAUACCGGAUAGGAGCUCCUGCUGCAUGGUGGGGGUUGGAAAGUUUCGGCGGUUGGGGAUGGACUCGCGGCUUAUCAGCUUGUUGGUGGGGUAGUGGCUUACCAAGGCUUUGACGGGUAGCCGGCCUGAGAGGGUGACCGGCCACAUUGGGCCUGAGAUGCGGCCCAGACUCCUACGGGAGGCAGCAGUGGGGAAUAUUGCACAAUGGGCGGAGGCCUGAUGCAGCAACGCCGCGUGCGGGAUGACGGCCUUCGGGUUGUAAACCGCUUUCGCCUGUGACGAAGCGUGAGUGACGGUAAUGGGUAAAGAAGCACCGGCUAACUACGUG